AUACAAUCAGAAUGAUACAUGUGUUUGCAAGGCAACAUUUUAACUUGCAUGUCGAGUAAAAACUGGUCUUUGCAGACCGCACAAAGAAUAACCGGAUCAUUCUCAAGCAUGGAAGAGGUAAUUUGAAGUAGUUCAAGUGCCGCCACAGCUGAUCUGGACGCGGAAUUGUUGUGAAGAUUGGGGGUAGGAGCGUCAUUAGUGGUGGUGAGAUGGCGAAUUAGACGGUGGAGAUAAGGACUAUUGAGGAGGAAGUUGUCGUCAGAGGGAGUAAAAGUGGUGGGGGUUUCAAUGUCAGAGGUAGGGUUAGGGUGAUUCGGAAAUUGGGGAAGAAUGGUAGGGGUAAAAGAGUCCAUAUGUUCGAGGAAAUCGGAAUGGCAGUGAGGGCAGCGAGGAUUAUUCGGGGGUGGGUGAAGGAGGAAGACGCUCAUGUCGCAUUCGUGGCACCAAAAAGUGUGGUGACGCUGCGGCGGAGUUGCGAUGGUGGUGGACAUUUGGUGUAAGUGGGAAAAGGUAUGGAAUAUUAUUGUGAUGUGUAAAGAGAAAAGCGAUGUGUGUGUUUUUUAUCGCAAGAGGAAGAAACGGUACGGGAAGGAGGAAGAAGAAGAA
Molecule: unclassified non-coding RNA, 606 nt
Filed under: Hevea brasiliensis (rubber tree)
Lineage: Eukaryota; Viridiplantae; Streptophyta; Magnoliopsida; Malpighiales; Euphorbiaceae
Source: RNAcentral